AUUGAACGCUGGCGGCAUGCCUUACACAUGCAAGUCGAACGGCAGCACGGACUUCGGUCUGGUGGCGAGUGGCGAACGGGUGAGUAAUACAUCGGAACGUGCCCAGUAAUGGGGGAUAGCUCGGCGAAAGCCGGAUUAAUACCGCAUACGCCCUGAGGGGGAAAGUGGGGGACCGCAAGGCCUCACGUUAUUGGAGCGGCCGAUGGCUGAUUAGCUAGUUGGUGAGGGAAAGGCGCACCAAGGGGACGAUCAGUAGCUGGUCUGAGAGGACGAUCAGCCACACGGGGGCCGAGACACGGCCCAGACUCCUACGGGAGGCAGCAGUGAGGAAUUUUGGACNNUGGGCGCAAGCCUGNUCCAGCAAUGCCGCGUGUGCGAAGAAGGCCUUCGGGUUGUAAAGCACUUUUGUCAGGAAAGAAAGCCAUUGGGUUAAUACCCUGNUGGGAUGACGGUACCUGAAGAAUAAGCACCGGCUAACUACGUGCCAGCCGCCGCAGUAA
Molecule: ribosomal RNA, 500 nt
Filed under: uncultured bacterium
Lineage: Bacteria
Description: partial 16S ribosomal RNA
Rfam family: Bacterial small subunit ribosomal RNA
Source: RNAcentral